Molecule: ribosomal RNA, 200 nt
Filed under: uncultured bacterium
Lineage: Bacteria
Description: partial 16S ribosomal RNA
Rfam family: Bacterial small subunit ribosomal RNA
Source: RNAcentral
AGAGUUUGAUCCUGGCUCAGAAUCAACGCUGGCGGCGUGCCUAACACAUGCAAGUCGAACGAGAAAGUCCCGCAAGGGAUGAGUACAGUGGCGUACGGGUGAGUAACACGUAGCUAACCUACCUUCGAGUGGGGAAUAACCUGGGGAAACUCGGGCUAAUACCGCAUAACAUCCGGGCUGCACAGGCAGACUGGAGCAAG